This is a non-coding RNA of Ictidomys tridecemlineatus (thirteen-lined ground squirrel), 73 nucleotides long. The record is from Rfam. NCBI's taxonomy places the organism in Eukaryota, Metazoa, Chordata, Mammalia, Rodentia, Sciuridae.
GGGGCUGUAGCUCAGUUGGUAGAGUACUUGUCUUGCAAGCACAAGGCCCUGGGUUCAAUCCCCAGCACACACA